GACGAACGCUGGCGGCGUGCCUAAUACAUGCAAGUUGAGCGCUGAAGGUUGGUACUUGUACCGACUGGAUGAGCAGCGAACGGGUGAGUAACGCGUGGGGAAUCUGCCUUUGAGCGGGGGACAACAUUUGGAAACGAAUGCUAAUACCGCAUAAAAACUUUAAACACAAGUUUUAAGUUUGAAAGAUGCAAUUGCAUCACUCAAAGAUGAUCCCGCGUUGUAUUAGCUAGUUGGUGAGGUAAAGGCUCACCAAGGCGAUGAUACAUAGCCGACCUGGGAGGGUGAUCGGCCACAUUAGGACUGAGACACGGCGCAAACUCCUACGGGAGGCAGCAGUAGGGAAUCUUCGGCAAUGGACGAAAGUCUGACCGAGCAACGCCGCGUGAGUGAAGAAGGUUUUCGGAUCGUAAAACUCUGUUGGUAGAGAAGAACGUUGGUGAGAGUGGAAAGCUCAUCAAGUGACGGUAACUACCCAGAAAGGGACGGCUAACUACGUGCCAGCCGCCGCAGUAA
RNAcentral lists this ribosomal RNA (513 nucleotides) under uncultured bacterium. RNAcentral's name for it is "partial 16S ribosomal RNA". It matches the Rfam family "Bacterial small subunit ribosomal RNA", at positions 28 to 523 of the family's 1533-position model. The record is from RNAcentral.